CAGUAGCCGCGGUAAUACGAGGGGGGCAAGCGUUGUUCGGAAUUAUUGGGCGUAAAGGGUGCGUAGGCGGUUUGAUAAGUCUUGUGUGAAAUCUCUGGGCUCAACCCAGAGUCUGCACAGGAAACUGUCGGGCUUGAGUAUUGGAGAGGUGAGUGGAAUUUCCGGUGUAGCGGUGAAAUGCGUAGAUAUCGGAAGGAACACCUGUGGCGAAAGCGGCUCACUGGACAAUUACUGACGCUGAUGCACGAAAGCUAGGGGAGCAAACAGGAUUAGAUACCCGUGUAGUCCCUGUCUCUUAUAA
Molecule: ribosomal RNA, 301 nt
Filed under: uncultured bacterium
Lineage: Bacteria
Description: partial 16S ribosomal RNA
Rfam family: Bacterial small subunit ribosomal RNA
Source: RNAcentral